GAUGAAGAACGCAGCGAAAUGCGAUACUUGGUGUGAAUUGCAGAAUCCCGUGAACCAUCGCGUCUUUGAACGCAAGUUGCGCCCGAAGCCAUUAGGCCGAGGGCACGCCUGCCUGGGCGUCACACGUCGUUGCCCCCCCCAUCUACUCCUUCGGGAUUGCGGGGGGCGGAUGAUGGCCUCCCGUGCGCCUCGCCGCGCGGUUGGCAUAAAUGCCAAGUCCUCGGCGACGCACGCCACGACAAUCGGUGGUUGCGAAACCUCGGUUGCCCGUCGUGUGCGGUCGUCGCGCAUUGAGGGCUCGAAAAAAUUGCCGAGUUCCGGCUCGGCUUUCAACGCGACCCCAGGUCAGGCGGGGUUACCCGCUGAAUUUAAGCAUAUCAAUAAGCGGAGGA
RNAcentral lists this unclassified non-coding RNA (392 nucleotides) under soil metagenome. Its description in RNAcentral is "partial contains 5.8S ribosomal RNA, internal transcribed spacer 2, and large subunit ribosomal RNA". The stretch from base 1 to 122 matches the Rfam family "5.8S ribosomal RNA", at positions 35 to 154 of the family's 154-position model. The record is from RNAcentral.